This 73-nucleotide transfer RNA is filed under the name Mus musculus (house mouse). RNAcentral describes it as "tRNA-Ser". Lineage: Eukaryota; Metazoa; Chordata; Mammalia; Rodentia; Muridae. The record is from RNAcentral.
GGAGAGGUGGCUCUGAGGUUCAGAGCACUGUCUGCUAUUCCAGAGGUCCUGAGUUCAAGUCCCAGCAACCACA